This is a long non-coding RNA of Cairina moschata (Muscovy duck), 2551 nucleotides long. The record is from Ensembl. Lineage: Eukaryota; Metazoa; Chordata; Aves; Anseriformes; Anatidae.
GGGGAAAUCAGGCUGUUUUCGCCGCCGGGGCCAGCCCGCUUCCCCUCGGGGUCUCGGCCACACCGGGACCGGGAGGCAGCGGCGCUGGGGCCGGGUGGCAGCGGGUGGCCGGGGGGGGACAAAGUCCAGCGGGGAGAGCCGUGAGAGCUGCCCGGGUGGCACGGGUCGGGGGGAAGGUGCGAGAAAGCCCGAGCGAGAGGCUGGAAGCGCUGCUCCGCCGGGCUCGAGAGGUUAAUAAAUACACCCGUCCCCUCUCCCCUGCCCGCCCGAGGCUAAGACUCGCAGCUCAGCGGGUAAUUGACAGUCUCGAUCCAAAAUUGAAACAUGUGUUAACAACAACGCCACGCAUCCGAGGAGCUACCCGGGAGAUCGCCACCUCACGGUCUUUAUAUAUUAUUUGAAUCCACCGGAGGGAAGUGUCACGAGGUUUUCCGAGCACGUUUCACCCCUACCUGUAAAUCAACUCUUAUCACUGCUGGCUGCUCGGGCAGGGGCAGCCUCCGCUUUAUAAAGCAGCAGGAGGAGAGCCGGUCCUCCCUCUCGGCGCUGCUGCCACGCCGCCCCCAGGCAAAGCCCGCCCGGCCCGGCCCGACCCUUCCCGAUUCUCGCCCCCUCGGCGUGUCCCCACGCGUGUCCGGCAGCGGGCGGGGACGCGUCGAGCCGCCGGCCGGGCUGCUCGCCUUCACGGAGACGUGGCUCGCCGGGGACGUGCUCGCACACCCACAGCGGGGUGGAGGAGGCGCCCCCUCCCCCGACACCCCUUUAACCGCGCCCCACACUUUAAGGGAAUUCGCUGUCCCCGCAGGAGAGACCGCGCCAGGGCAGGGAAAGCGCAAACUUGCGCCGGAGCGCUCGGACGUGCAGAGGCAGGACAGCGCUGGCAGGGUUCCCCGGCAAGGGCAGGUCUCCAGGGCCCACAGCCGCCAGCUCCAUCCCUCCCCCCGCCGUCCCCACCGGCCCCUUUCCCCUCCGCCAGCCCCGGCGAGGAGCGGCCCCGGCCCCGGGGAAGCACCGGGAGCCCCCCGCGGGCAGAGCCGGCUCCGAGCCCCGCUCCGGAGGUCAGGGCCGGCGGGGGCAGGCAGAUGGAAAAUCCCAGUUCCUGCCGCACAUAACAAACAAGUAGGACGAGAUGGAUCUGGAAAGCAGGGUUUGCCUUUCUGGUUGUGUUCCUACAAAUCCACGUGCGAGAGGUGGAACAACAUCAGCCUGAAGUCACUGCACUCCUCCCCUGCCUUCCUGCAGGCUGCAGCUCAGCUGGGACCCUGGGCAUCGCCCCUGCAACCUGUCCCCCCAGGGAAAUACAAAGACCGGUGAUCUCUGCGCCUCUGGGCUAUUGACGGACACAAAAGACUGGUUUAGCACUUUCAUUUCCAUGCUGGGAAUUGGGGGAUUAAAAUGCCACUAUCUCCUGAUUGUGUUGUUUUUUAUGCAGGCCCCAUGUAAACACUACACCAGACAACAAACCACUGUUAAUAAAAAUUGCUAAUUAGAUGAGGACAGUGGCUUGUUUUAUUUACAGAAGUAUUUAUAGGCUUUCUGCUUUCUUGUAUUUUUCAAGGCUCUGUAUAUUUUGCAUUUGCUUUUUACACUUCGUCCCUGCUUGUCCUUCUAACUAUUUCUUGAGAGGGCUUUUUUUUUUCGUUGUUGUUUUAACCACCCUGAGUCAGACAUAAGGAUCUGCUUUAUAUUAAGCCUGUUCUAUUCUUGAAAGAGCUUCUCCAACACAACACAAUUUUGGAGUUCAUAGAAAACCCACACAUUUGUUAAAUCUAUCUUUUACAAUGUGUUAGUAGCCAAGAUAGCAUGUACUCUGGGAUAAGACUUGGCUUUUUAGCACACAUUUGUCUAUCUCCUCAAGAAACGGGGCCUUAAACCCUGACUGAAAGGAAUUUUUAUUCAGCCAAGCUUAUCUCUGUUAAUUCAGGAUAUGCAGUUGACUUUCAGAUAAAGAAAGGCACCCAAACUGCAGCUCAGCGAGGGACUCCAAUACAUCCAGUCAUCCUUCUGCCCGACGUGCAGACCGCUGUCCUCCAAUUAUUAGCACGUACCAUUAAUUCUGCGUGAAGCCACACCGGGCUGAAAUGACAAAAGCAGCAGGAAGAUGAUGUCAGCUGGAGUGCCGCACUGCUUUAUUCCCCAGAAGGCUCCCCCCGUGGUAGCGAGGUCUGAGCAUCGUGUCAGCAGGAGAAGUUUCCCUGGCAGAGCGUACCCCAAGGACCUGACACCGCUGCUGGUUGCCGUGGAAGUUACAGGCUCGCUCUAAAUCAACUUCUCCAGGUCUCCCAUAUGCUGUAGGCUACCCAGCCUGCCUUCCCACUCAGAUACGCUGACAUGUGCCCUGGCUUCUGCCUGUGCAAGGUUUUAUUCCAGAAGGCACCAAAGCCUGUUACCACCUUCCCAUCACCGCCCUUGGGUGGCUAUAAAGGGGAAACCCACGUUAUUGCCAUAAGAUGUGCUUUGCAGAUUGAUCUGGAGUAAACACAGGGUGGGAAUACAGGGAUAUCGUUGAGCCAGCACUAUUGAGAAUGUAAACAAAAUUGAAUGGGAGUGA